Molecule: long non-coding RNA, 227 nt
Filed under: Mytilus galloprovincialis (Mediterranean mussel)
Lineage: Eukaryota; Metazoa; Mollusca; Bivalvia; Mytilida; Mytilidae
Source: RNAcentral
UGAUUAAUUCAAAUCUAUACUAUUAAACGAGAAGACCUCAUUUUGGGUGUCGCUUCUCUUCUUUCCACAAUAAAUUAAUCAACACGCCUCUGUGUCCUAUAGGUACAGUGCAUAGUCGCAUUUGUCAUCCAUUCAUAUGAUUAUUCAGAUUGAGUUAUUUUGGGAGAAAAUCGAGAAAAAGGGCAUCCGGAUAUUGUCCCGUCAUUGGACAAAAUUUUAAGUCAGAU